RNAcentral lists this ribosomal RNA (132 nucleotides) under Citrobacter sp. Cc139. RNAcentral describes it as "partial 23S ribosomal RNA". It matches the Rfam family "Bacterial large subunit ribosomal RNA", at positions 2799 to 2925 of the family's 2925-position model. Lineage: Bacteria; Pseudomonadati; Pseudomonadota; Gammaproteobacteria; Enterobacterales; Enterobacteriaceae. The record is from RNAcentral.
CCGAGAUGAGUUCUCCCUGAGACUUUGAGUCUCCUGAAGGAACGUUGAAGACGACGACGUUGAUAGGUCGGGUGUGUAAGCGUAGCGAUACGUUGAGCUAACCGAUACUAAUGAACCGUGAGGCUUAACCUU